This 107-nucleotide small nuclear RNA is filed under the name Microcebus murinus (gray mouse lemur). Lineage: Eukaryota; Metazoa; Chordata; Mammalia; Primates; Cheirogaleidae. The record is from RNAcentral.
AUGCUCACUUCGGCAGCACAUAUACUAAAAUUGGAAUGACACACAGAAGAUUAGCAUGGCCCCUGCGCAAGAAUGACAUGCAAAUUCAUGAAAUGUUUCAUAUAUUU